Molecule: long non-coding RNA, 2829 nt
Organism: Fukomys damarensis (Damara mole-rat)
Lineage: Eukaryota; Metazoa; Chordata; Mammalia; Rodentia; Bathyergidae
Exons: 5
Source: RefSeq, a predicted model, not a curated record
UGGGGACAGAGUUUCUUUUUGGGGUGAUGAACAUGUUCAAAAUUAGAGUAUUAGGAAAUACAACCUUGUGCAUAUACUAAAAACCACUGAAUUAAAAAAAUGUGUAUAUGCACACAUACAAAUGUAUCUUGGUUACUGAGAUUUUAGGGUGCCCCUUACAUUGUGUCCCUAAAGGGAGUGUCUCACUUCACCCAAAUCCUGGCCCUGUAGGUGGCUCUCAGGGCAGGGAUGACACAAAAAGAGCACUGGCUAACUGCCAGACAUUGCAGUGGGCAGUAGUGUGGGCCCUGCACAUGUGGCAGUGGAGGAAGGGAGUCAUAGCUGGUCCCUGCCCUCAGGACCCUCCCAAGCGAAGGCCAACUGCCAAGCCAGGGACUGCGAUUUCAGGGUUAGACAACUGGCCAAAGAGGACCUCGCCUCUUUGCCUCCUUCUCCUUGCUCAUUUUCUAUUUUCGUAAUAACAGAACCUCUGACUUAGGUUGAACAUGGCCUCCAAGAGUAAAGACUGCAUUUCCCAGCUUCCCUUGCAGCUAGGUACAGCCAUAUAUCUAAGUUUUAGCUAAUGAGACUCAAGAGGGAAGUGGCAUAUUCAACUUCCAGGUCACACUCUUGAGGGGGAGGAGCAUGUGGAUAAAGAAAAGCUCAAGCAUGGGGGAGCAAGAAAGUGAGAGAAGCCUGGUUCCCUGAGGACCUUGUGGAGGAGAGGUAUCCUGUCAGCCUGCACCACAACAAGCCAUGAAAAACAUUCAGUUUUGUGUAAGUCACUGUGGUAUGUAGGAAUCCCUGCUGAUCCCCAAGGCAGGAAUUUGGGGUCCAGCUCCUUGGUGCCCUCCACAGGAUGUUCGGAUGCCGAGUCUGUCUCCCGGACCGCCUACCGGCACUCACAGCCUGGCGCACAGGAAGUAGUUCCGGCCCCCAGCACAGGGCUUGGACGUAGGACGCCGACUGCGGACAGAGCCGAGUCCCACCCAUGUUCUCACUGGACCCUCUUCUGGCUGCCUGGGCUCAGGGUUGCAGUCACAGAUCCUGGGUCUGCUGGGAGUGACUUCCCAAAGGGCUGUUGAAAGGAAAAAGCAAAACAAAAGCCGACUUGCUGCGUCUGCCAGAGUCUGAGUUGUAACUGUUUGCAUGAAGAGACUGUGGCAUUUGCCUCUCCAGAACUGGUAAGCAGCCAGUUUCAGUGCACUGAUGGCCUCAGAAGCAACAGGUCCAAUCACACUGGGACCAGAGCCCGGGUCUUCCCCCUCUUUGGGAAGAAGCGAGCACAAGGCCCUCUGACCCAUGGUGGCCCCCCCAGGCCUAUGCAAGCAUCAAGUGUGGCUGAAGCGUGCUCUCCGUGUAACUAGGGCUUUGUCUCCUUCCUGGAAGCUGGGAACCCCAGUUCCGGGCUCUGCCUGUGCACAGAGGGCCCCAGGCAACAGCACUGGGAUGCUGGACACAGCAGCAAAACAAGUCUCCGGAGAUCCGAACAUCUAACCGGCACCCGCCUGGCUGUGCAUCCCGAAGCCCUGCUGGCUGCAACCUGCAUUUCCUGGUCAAUGUCAUAAGGCCCCUGAGUUCCGCAUCAGAACCUUCCACCAAUCCACUUUCCCAGCACUGGCCCUGCCUGAACCAUCCAUGAACUCUGCACUUCAUGGUCUCCCGGGAGGUGGAUGUCAAGGGACCUGGGCCCCAUCACCAGCUUGCUGGUCCCACAUCAAGCCACCUGGCCAUGUGUACUCCAUGUCCCAGGAUGAGAGCUGGGUGGCAUCUCCGGAAGUCCUUUGGCACCAGAAUGCUGAAGGCACCAGUGGGCCACGCAAGAACUGCACGGAGCUGCUGUUACACCAUCAAGGCCACGGCAGAGGCAGGCAGGGGCCUCAUUCUGGAAGGCCAGAGGUAGCCCCGGGCAGGAGAGCAGUGGUAAGCUUGGGAGGGGCUGUCUUCUGUGUGGAGGACACAGGCUCCAGCUCUGCCUCUCCAUGGGGUCCCUAAGAGCUCCUCCGCCUUCAGUGCAGGAUUGCUGGUCUCUGGACCCCAUCUGGAGUCCCAAGGCUACAGACGGCAAAAGCCACUGGGAACACCACACGGGAGAUGGCUGGGAGUCCAAGGCCUGGGGCCUUGUCCUAAAAUCACCCAGUGUCAGAGUCAGAAGAGAGUAGAUGGGGAUGUGGCCAAGAAUGCGUAACCUCAACCUAAUCAUGAAGAAACAUCUGAUGAACACAAAAUGGGGAACUUUCACGUAAAGGAAAAAGCAGGGGGUGGGGAAGGAAGUCUGCAUUUCAGUCUCAAAACUGCCAGUGUUAUGAACGAGAGAGACGGGCUGUGCAAAUAUUCCAAAUUAAAGUAGGGGAAACAGCUUUCCUGCUACAGGGAGUAUCUGGCCCUUGGCUGGAUCCCGACCUGGAGAGGGGCGCUAACAAGGACCUUAUUGGACCAAGAGACCAAAGCAGUGCAAACUUCUGAAGUGGACAAAUCCCGAGUGGCGGUACAGGGGUGUGCAGCCUUCGUGCUUCCAGACCAGACCUUCCAUGGCGCACUCAGGAAAGUGUCUAGGGGCAGAGGGCCCGGGGCAGCUAACAUCCGUUAUAUGAUUCAGAAAGAACUCUGUGUGCACAGAGAGAGAGAAAGCAGUUGGGGUAAGACGGUAACAAUACACAAGAGCUUGCCCAUAUGCCUAUUUCAGUACCCUGCUUCUAUUCUUGGGCUGUUUGAAAUUAUUUCCAAGUAAAAGACUAAAAAAAAAGCAGUAGAACUAUUUAUUUCAAACAAAAGCUCAUGCAGAACCCCAUGUGUAAAAAACGUUCCAGCGCGGCUGUCGGCGGUGGCAAGGCUGGCCCUGAGCCUGUU